AUUGAACGCUGGCGGCAGGCCUAACACAUGCAAGUCGAGCGGAUGAAAGGAGCUUGCUCCUGGAUUCAGCGGCGGACGGGUGAGUAAUGCCUAGGAAUCUGCCUGGUAGUGGGGGAUAACGUCCGGAAACGGGCGCUAAUACCGCAUACGUCCUGAGGGAGAAAGUGGGGGAUCUUCGGACCUCACGCUAUCAGAUGAGCCUAGGUCGGAUUAGCUAGUUGGUGGGGUAAAGGCCUACCAAGGCGACGAUCCGUAACUGGUCUGAGAGGAUGAUCAGUCACACUGGAACUGAGACACGGUCCAGACUCCUACGGGAGGCAGCAGUGGGGAAUAUUGGACAAUGGGCGAAAGCCUGAUCCAGCCAUGCCGCGUGUGUGAAGAAGGUCUUCGGAUUGUAAAGCACUUUAAGUUGGGAGGAAGGGCAGUAAGUUAAUACCUUGCUGUUUUGACGUUACCAACAGAAUAAGCACCGGCUAACUUCGUG
RNAcentral lists this ribosomal RNA (484 nucleotides) under uncultured bacterium. Its description in RNAcentral is "partial 16S ribosomal RNA". It matches the Rfam family "Bacterial small subunit ribosomal RNA", at positions 30 to 507 of the family's 1533-position model. The record is from RNAcentral.